AAAUUGAAGAGUUUGAUCAUGGCUCAGAUUGAACGCUGGCGGCAGGCCUAACACAUGCAAGUCGAACGGUAACAGGAAACAGCUUGCUGUUUCGCUGACGAGUGGCGGACGGGUGAGUAAUGUCUGGGAAACUGCCUGAUGGAGGGGGAUAACUACUGGAAACGGUAGCUAAUACCGCAUAAUGUCGCAAGACCAAAGAGGGGGACCUUCGGGCCUCUUGCCAUCGGAUGUGCCCAGAUGGGAUUAGCUUGUAGGUGGGGUAACGGCUCACCUAGGCGACGAUCCCUAGCUGGUCUGAGAGGAUGACCAGCCACACUGGAACUGAGACACGGUCCAGACUCCUACGGGAGGCAGCAGUGGGGAAUAUUGCACAAUGGGCGCAAGCCUGAUGCAGCCAUGCCGCGUGUAUGAAGAAGGCCUUCGGGUUGUAAAGUACUUUCAGCGGGGAGGAAGGGAGUAAAGUUAAUACCUUUGCUCAUUGACGUUACCCGCAGAAGAAGCACCGGCUAACUCCGUGCCAGCAGCCGCGGUAAUACGGAGGGUGCAAGCGUUAAUCGGAAUUACUGGGCGUAAAGCGCACGCAGGCGGUUUGUUAAGUCAGAUGUGAAAUCCCCGGGCUCAACCUGGGAACUGCAUCUGAUACUGGCAAGCUUGAGUCUCGUAGAGGGGGGUAGAAUUCCAGGUGUAGCGGUGAAAUGCGUAGAGAUCUGGAGGAAUACCGGUGGCGAAGGCGGCCCCCUGGACGAAGACUGACGCUCAGGUGCGAAAGCGUGGGGAGCAAACAGGAUUAGAUACCCUGGUAGUCCACGCCGUAAACGAUGUCGACUUGGAGGUUGUGCCCUUGAGGCGUGGCUUCCGGAGCUAACGCGUUAAGUCGACCGCCUGGGGAGUACGGCCGCAAGGUUAAAACUCAAAUGAAUUGACGGGGGCCCGCACAAGCGGUGGAGCAUGUGGUUUAAUUCGAUGCAACGCGAAGAACCUUACCUGGUCUUGACAUCCACGGAAGUUUUCAGAGAUGAGAAUGUGCCUUCGGGAACCGUGAGACAGGUGCUGCAUGGCUGUCGUCAGCUCGUGUUGUGAAAUGUUGGGUUAAGUCCCGCAACGAGCGCAACCCUUAUCCUUUGUUGCCAGCGGUCCGGCCGGGAACUCAAAGGAGACUGCCAGUGAUAAACUGGAGGAAGGUGGGGAUGACGUCAAGUCAUCAUGGCCCUUACGACCAGGGCUACACACGUGCUACAAUGGCGCAUACAAAGAGAAGCGACCUCGCGAGAGCAAGCGGACCUCAUAAAGUGCGUCGUAGUCCGGAUUGGAGUCUGCAACUCGACUCCAUGAAGUCGGAAUCGCUAGUAAUCGUGGAUCAGAAUGCCACGGUGAAUACGUUCCCGGGCCUUGUACACACCGCCCGUCACACCAUGGGAGUGGGUUGCAAAAGAAGUAGGUAGCUUAACCUUCGGGAGGGCGCUUACCACUUUGUGAUUCAUGACUGGGGUGAAGUCGUAACAAGGUAACCGUAGGGGAACCUGCGGUUGGAUCACCUCCUUACCUUAAAGAA
Molecule: ribosomal RNA, 1552 nt
Filed under: Escherichia fergusonii
Lineage: Bacteria; Pseudomonadati; Pseudomonadota; Gammaproteobacteria; Enterobacterales; Enterobacteriaceae
Description: bacterial SSU rRNA
Rfam family: Bacterial small subunit ribosomal RNA
Source: RNAcentral